GGGCCCGUAGCUCAUCUGGUAGAGCGCUGCGUUCGCAUCGCAGAGGUGAGGAGUUCGAGUCUCCUCGGGUCCACCA
RNAcentral lists this transfer RNA (76 nucleotides) under Candidatus Uhrbacteria bacterium RIFOXYC2_FULL_47_19. RNAcentral describes it as "tRNA-Ala". It matches the Rfam family "tRNA". From Rfam's summary of the family: Transfer RNA (tRNA) molecules are approximately 80 nucleotides in length. Their secondary structure includes four short double-helical elements and three loops (D, anti-codon, and T loops). Further hydrogen bonds mediate the characteristic L-shaped molecular structure. tRNAs have two regions of fundamental functional importance: the anti-codon, which is responsible for specific mRNA codon recognition, and the 3' end, to which the tRNAs corresponding amino acid is attached (by aminoacyl-tRNA synthetases). tRNAs cope with the degeneracy of the genetic code in two manners: having more than one tRNA (with a specific anti-codon) for a particular amino acid; and 'wobble' base-pairing, i.e. permitting non-standard base-pairing at the 3rd anti-codon position. RNAcentral also lists the same sequence under 1 other name. The record is from RNAcentral. Lineage: Bacteria; Candidatus Uhriibacteriota.